GUUGUGGCACUAAGCAACUAGUCAGCGUGAGCUUUUGUUGUUGUUAGCUUUCGUUUUCUUGUUCAUAGAUAGCGGAGAUCAUUUGGAAAAAGCUUGGUUGCUUGUAGACAUGUUGUUUAUUUUCUCUCCCACUUUUGAAUCACCAGUUAUGUUUUUUCCCUCAGGUAGCCAAUGAUCAUGUGCAACUUUGUUGUAACAAUGGGUACAGUGGUGGUUUUAGGUUUCCUUUUAGUGUAGUAUUUUUCAUUUUUAAUACUGUAAAUCUUCUGGGACUUCCAUAGGCUUCAUAUCAAUUCUUCCUUUUAAAGGAAGCAUCAAGGAAGUGUUUAUAUCUUCUAUACCUGUGAUCUCUCACAAGCUACCCAUACCAUUGAAUCCUGAGAGAAAGUAUAUUUGCAGAAAAACCAGUUUACCUAGAUUGUUCUGCACCUGUUAUGGAAUAUAAGUGUUUAUACAGCUUUGAAAACCUUAGAUUUUUUUCAAAAUAGUCUUUUUUCCUCAGCUUACCUCACCAGUUUGAGAAAUGACAUUAAGUAUAACUAAUUCAGUUUGGGAUUUAAUUAUACAAUUAAAUUAUGAUAGUUGCACAGUUCUGUGAACAUACUAAAAAACAUUGAAGGCCGUUGUUUUUUAAAAUCUGUAAUAUAGCAAGUUAAGGACUAUGUCCUUAAUCCUCUUCUCCCAAUUCUCCAGUUUUAAGGUUGAGUAAAUGGUAUAACAAUUAUACUUACUUUUCAGUGAGCCAAAACUGACUUAAUAUUACUAAAAGUUUUUUUAAUCAAUAUCAGAUUACAGAAGUAAUGUAUAGUAUUAAAUA
This 817-nucleotide long non-coding RNA is filed under the name Homo sapiens (human). RNAcentral describes it as "HSALNT0332647". Lineage: Eukaryota; Metazoa; Chordata; Mammalia; Primates; Hominidae. The record is from RNAcentral.